Molecule: ribosomal RNA, 496 nt
Filed under: uncultured bacterium
Lineage: Bacteria
Description: bacterial SSU rRNA
Rfam family: Bacterial small subunit ribosomal RNA
Source: RNAcentral
UAGUCCACGCCGUAAACGAUGGAUACUAGCUGUUCGAUCUUCGGAUUGAGUGGCUAAGCGAAAGUGAUAAGUAUCCCACCUGGGGAGUACGUUCGCAAGAAUGAAACUCAAAGGAAUUGACGGGGGCCCGCACAAGCGGUGGAGCAUGUGGUUUAAUUCGAUGAUACGCGAGGAACCUUACCAGGGCUUAAAUGCAUAUUGACAGGUGUGGAAACACGCUUUCCUUCGGGCAAUUUGCAAGGUGCUGCAUGGUUGUCGUCAGCUCGUGCCGUGAGGUGUCAGGUUAAGUCCUAUAACGAGCGCAACCCCUGUCGUUAGUUGCCAGCGAGUCAUGUCGGGAACUCUAACGAGACUGCCGGUGCAAACCGUGAGGAGGUGGGGAUGACGUCAAAUCAUCACGGGCCCUUACGUCCUGGGGCUACACACGUGCUACAAUGGCCGGUACAGAGGGGCAGCCACACCGCGAGGGUGGGAGCGAAUCCUUAAAACCGGGUCU